UCUUCUUCCUCUUCUCUC
This 18-nucleotide small RNA is filed under the name Arabidopsis thaliana (thale cress). Its description in RNAcentral is "ATSL179960". Lineage: Eukaryota; Viridiplantae; Streptophyta; Magnoliopsida; Brassicales; Brassicaceae. The record is from RNAcentral.